CAAGGUUCAGCAGGGCUGGUUUCUCCUGAGGGCGGGGAGGGACAGCCUGUUCUAGGCCUCUCUCCCAACUUCUGGUGUUUCCUGGCAGUCUUUGGUGUUUCUUGGCUUGCGGUUCUCUGCCUUCAUCUUCACAUGAUGUUCUUCCUGUGUGCCUGUCUAUCUUCAAAUUCCCCCCUUUUGCAAGAACACCAGUCAUAGUUCACUGGGGCCUACCCGAAUGACUCCAUAUCAACUUGAUUACCUUCUGUAAAGACCUGAUCUCUGAGUAGGGCCCAUUCUGGGGUACUGGGACUUGAGACCCAACAUUUUUCUUUCUCUUCUGGAGACCCCAUUCACUCCAUAGUGUUAUGACUCAGGAACGUGAUGACUUGUCUCUGUCGUGUGAGCUCACCUGAGCAUCCUUCCUCUGUGGAAAAUAGAGCUUCUGUUCAAGGACCAAACUUCACCAUGACAAACGACUCUGGUUUUAAACCAUUUUCGAGAGAAGGGAUGCUGCCCUGGAAUUGCUGCAGGCUCCCUGGGAUCCCUGGCUGUGUCGUGGAAAAGACACUUAGGCUGGAGACUGAGACUCUAGUCCAGACUUUCUGCUUCCUGAUUAUGUCAUCUUAAGUCAUGUGACCUCUCUGAGUUUCUGUUUCUUCAUUGGUAAAACCAAGAAGAUGAUAGUGAUGACGAUAUUACUUACCUGGCUUACCUUAAAAGUGCUGACUGGGACAAUGAUGUUGCACCUAUUUAGGGGGGUUUAUUUGCUAUCUAUCUCUUCUUGGGUGAAGUGACCAUUCAAAUCUUUCACCCAUUAAAAAAAAAAAGUGAAAGUGAAAACACAACAGAUUGUUGGACUUCUCUGGUGGUCCAGUGGUUAAGAAUCUGCCUGCCAAUGCAGGGGAGAUGGAUUCAACCCCUGGUCCAGGAAGACUCCAUAUACUGAGGGGCAACUAAGCCUGUGUGUGAUAACUGCUGACACCCGCACACUCCAGAGCCUGUGUUCUGCGACAAGAGAAGCCACUACAACGGGAGGCCUGCUGACCACAACUAGAGAGUAGCCCCUACUUGCUGGAAGUAGAGAAAGCCCUCAGGCAGCAACAAAGACCAGGCACAAUCAAAAAAUAAAACACAUACCUUUAAAAAAUGAUUGUUUGUU
Bos indicus x Bos taurus (hybrid cattle) is the source of this 1141-nucleotide long non-coding RNA. The record is from Ensembl. Lineage: Eukaryota; Metazoa; Chordata; Mammalia; Artiodactyla; Bovidae.